GACUUGGUAAAUCCGGUCGCAUAUCAACCCUGAGGCGUGAUGACGAGUCACUACGGUGAUGAAGUAGUUGAUGCCAAGCUUCCAGGAAAAGCCUCUAAGCUCUAGGUAACAUUGAAUCGUACCCCAAACCGACACAGGUGGUCAGGUAGAGAAUACCAAGGCGCUUGAGAGAACUCGGGUGAAGGAACUAGGCAAAAUGGUGCCGUAACUUCGGGAGAAGGCACGCUGGCGCGUAGGUGAAGUCCCUUGCGGAUGGAGCUGAAGCCAGUCGAAGAUACCAGCU
This 283-nucleotide ribosomal RNA is filed under the name Escherichia coli. RNAcentral's name for it is "partial 23S ribosomal RNA". It matches the Rfam family "Bacterial large subunit ribosomal RNA", at positions 1530 to 1791 of the family's 2925-position model. Lineage: Bacteria; Pseudomonadati; Pseudomonadota; Gammaproteobacteria; Enterobacterales; Enterobacteriaceae. The record is from RNAcentral.